Chenopodium quinoa (quinoa) is the source of this 3671-nucleotide long non-coding RNA. RefSeq lists it as uncharacterized. NCBI's taxonomy places the organism in Eukaryota, Viridiplantae, Streptophyta, Magnoliopsida, Caryophyllales, Amaranthaceae. The record is from RefSeq and is a predicted model, not a curated record. The transcript has 10 exons.
AGUGAUUAAACGUUCUAUUUUUUUUGGGUACAUGAAAAUUUUGGGAACAUGUAAAUUUCCAUUUUUCCUCUUUCUUUUCCUAAUUCACAAACCCUCUCCUAAUUCACUCCUAAUUCACAAACCCUCUUUCUUUUGGUUUCAAUUCCCUCUGCUCAUCCCCACAACACAAUUCUUAAAUCAGCCCUCUCUUAUUUUCACACAUAAAUUAGGAUUGAUUAUCGUACAAUCUCGUCAUCAUAGUCCGAUUACAAUUCCUUGUAGGCGAGUUGAAAUUGCUUGAAUCACAGUUUACAUUUCUUUCGUCAUCAUAGUUUGUCGUCAAUUCUUUGUUUGCUCUCAACACUAGUGAACAAGGACAUCUUAUUGGAGGGAAAAGGAACAGAAAAGGAAAAGGAUUUACAUUAGAUUUCCAAAGUCUGAAGCAAGCUCAUAGAUAUAUUGUCUUCAAUUGCGACAAUGCAACAGUUAAAACAUACAUCAAAGAACAUCAGAUUUGGGUGAAUAGCCAAGGUCGAAAGCGUAGAUGGAAUAGUGCACAAAGUCAUAGCAGAGAUUUUAUUGAUUGGUUUUUUGAAAAAGUACAAAGGGAGCUGGUUAAUGGGGAACUUUUUUGGUUGGCUAAGGGUCCUAAUCCCAAGGCCAGGAGGUACACUGGGUAUUUUAUCAAUGGUUAUAGGUUUUACACUAGAGAACGUGAUUCACGAUUAAAGACUCAAAAUAGUGGAGUGACUUUAACAGCUUUAACUACUAGUUUUGCCAGUUCAAGGGAUCAAAAUCCCGUCGACGGAGAUGUUACCUACUAUGGUGCAAUAUAAGAAAUUUUUGAGUUGGACUUUUGGUCUCAAUUCAGCGUUGCGUUAUUUAAGUGCGAUUGGUUUCUUGGUGAUAUUGAUGAGUUUGGGCUUACAUAUGUCAAUUUCAAGAAGAAAUGUUCCAAAGAUGAUCCAUUCGUAUAGGCUUCUCAGGUUCAUCAAGUAUACUAUUCCCAAGACCCAUUAAAAAAAGAUAUUUAAUACGUCCUGAAAAGGGUUCCAAGAGACCUUUUUUACUUUGAGGAAGCACUGAAUGAGGAAACAUAUUGGGAGGAGCCUACUGGUUCUAAUAACAUGCCUUCUUUCGAUGCUAAUCAUAUUCAUGUAGGAGCUGGUGGUGGUGAAGUGCGUGCUGUGAACAUAGAUGAUUUAUCACAGGAUGUUAAUAACCAUGAAGAUGAUGUUGACUAUGAUGAUACAGAUUGGGAUUGGAUGGAUGCAACUGAUGAUAUUCCAGCUCAUGAGCCAUAGGAUUAUUAAUGAAUCUUGAGCAAUUGUUUUUAUUAUAUUAUACUCUGUUUUAUGUAUUUUGUUUUUAUUAUAUUAUACUCUGUUUUAUGUAUUAGGCUUGCUGUUUGAACAUUUGAUUUGGCUUAUUUAGUAAUAAUUAUUUAUCAUCUUUAGUGAAUAUAUUAGCCUUUUCUAAUUUUUUUUUAUCAUCUUUAGUAGUAAUUAUUUAUCCUUAGUGAAUAUAUUAGCCUUAUCUAAUUUUUAUUCCCAAAACUUGAGUAUCCCAAAUCCUGAAUAUAUUAGCUGAAUGUCAGGUAUCAGAUAUUGUACUAAUAAAUUUUUUAGUAUUAACUAUGUGUUAUAUUUGAAAAAAAUAUGUCCGACUAUUUGUUGUAAGUGCUAUUUGUCUAAACUUUUUUUUUCCACUAACUGUUUAUAAUAUUUGUUUGCAGAAUGACGAAUAAUGGAAGUAAGAAGCCUGAAAUUGCCUCAAAGUCCACCUUAGCACCUUAUGAAAAAGUAAGGUCCAUGACUAUAGAAAGAAAUGCCCAGAGGAUUAGAGAAUUAGGGCUCGACAAGAUUGCUCAACAAUUGUUGGAAAAAAAUAAGAACUUUGCAAAAGGAAAGGAGAAUGUGAAUUCUAAUGUAGAUGAUCAAGACUAUGUGCCUGAUGAAGAAAAUUGUGACCUUGAUGAGGAGCUUGAGAUGUCUCGAGAAGCAACAACCUCUAUACCUAAGAAGAAGGCAAGAACUAGAGAGCAACCACCUAGGAAGAAUAAGAAGCAGCCAUUGUACCCAUCUAUGGCAAUGGAAAAUUUCCUUGUUGCUCAAAAUCAAAUGGAUCCAGCUGAAGUACGAUAAAUAGAGCAAGAUGUACAGCAAUUGGAGCAAGAUCGACAAAGAUCUAAGCGUCUGCUUUCGACCAUUGUUCCACUAGAAAGCCAAGGAGAAAGUUUUUCCACACAAGUUCCUAAGAAGAAAGGGCGCGGUCCAACAAAUUUGUUUGAUGUCCAUGCUCGCAAAUGGGAAGAUCGCGUAGCUAUCUAUUGUAAUGACAAAGGCCAAGCUAUCGGGCCUGAAAAGGCUAGGAAAGAGCUAACUAGAUUCUUAGGAACUAUUGCUCAUGAUUAUAAUUGGGCUCCCUUGACAUACACAAAUUGGAAACAAGUUCCAAACAAGGAGAAAAUCUGGGAAUUUAUGAUUAGCAAGUACGUCCUUCCAGUUGAAGCUAAGGAUUAGGUAAUGGAGACUCUUGAUCAAUCUUGGAGAGGAUUCAAAUGUCGCCUCAAAAGAGAUCAUUAUUAUAUGUAUGACCCUUAUGAAGAGAGAUUGAAGCAUCCUCCUGAAAGAGUGCCUGAAGCACAUUACAAAACACUUUUUAGCUUAUUGGGGGACACCAAUAGCAAAGAAAACCAGUUUGCAGAAUUCUGAAAAUCGGCUUGAACAAGACAACAUACAUACAACUCGUCCCGUUUCUUUUGCCAUGAAACAUGAGCAGUUGCUACGGAAAGAUGGUGUGGCACCAUCAAAAAGAAAAAUGUUUGAAGAGACUCGACGGCGAAAGGAGGGAAGAACCUAUGACCGACCUUAUGAUGAUACACAACAAAAGAUACAAGCAAUGAGGGAAUUGGAAGCUUCUCAAGAUGAUCAGAGUGGUGAACCUGUUAAGGACCCAUUUGAUGAAGUUAUGAGAAACAUACGUCGAGGUAUAGAAUUAUUACAAGGACUAGGUGUCACUCGCAAGAAGCGAAAAGAUAAAGGACCUGGUACCUCUUUGAUUCUACCAGAUUAGGUUAUGGAGUCUAUUAAAAGUGUUGUAACUGCUGAUGUUCAAAAGGAUAUAAAUGCUGAAAUUGAAGAAUUUGCCAAGGAAAAAGAAGUUCAUGCUGCAAAAGUUGCUGCACAAGAAGCUGAGAUAAAGAGGAAGACUAAGGAGCUUGAAUCUAAGACCUUAAAACUGCAAGAGAUACGCAUGGAUUUUGAAAAUCAGCAAGGAAAUAUAACUCUUGAUGCAAUAAUAUCAGCACUUGCACAACUAUGACAAAAAGAUCCUAGCUUAACUCCAGAAAUUAUUGCAAAAGCUAUCGUUUCAACGACUACAAAUGAUGCAUAAACUAUAUUAUUUAAGAUUAUGAACAGGAGACUAUAUAUAUCCAAGUAUGAAGUCAUCCAUCAACCAUCUAAAUAUUUAUUGGACUUUGCACAAAAAUAUGAGAAUGGUUUUUGAAGAUAAAUUUUUAGAAUUUGGUUUUGGAAUUUUAAUUAGUUUGAUGUAUGAAAAAUUUAGAUCGAAUGUUUUUGCUGGCUGUAAUAAGUAUUUAGCUUAUCAUUUAGAAUUAAUUUGAAUUAACUACGGGUAACUUUUUAUGGAGAACUUUCAAAGCAUAAUAUUAGUUUAUUGAUCAUAUG